Molecule: ribosomal RNA, 1346 nt
Filed under: uncultured bacterium
Lineage: Bacteria
Description: partial 16S ribosomal RNA
Rfam family: Bacterial small subunit ribosomal RNA
Source: RNAcentral
GGCGAACGCUGGCGGCGUGCUUAACACAUGCAAGUCGAACGGAAAGGCCCUGCUUUUGUGGGGUGCUCGAGUGGCGAACGGGUGAGUAACACGUGAGUAACCUGCCCUUGACUUUGGGAUAACUUCAGGAAACUGGGGCUAAUACCGGAUAGGAGCUCCUGCUGCAUGGUGGGGGUUGGAAAGUUUCGGCGGUUGGGGAUGGACUCGCGGCUUAUCAGCUUGUUGGUGGGGUAGUGGCUUACCAAGGCUUUGACGGGUAGCCGGCCUGAGAGGGUGACCGGCCACAUUGGGACUGAGAUACGGCCCAGACUCCUACGGGAGGCAGCAGUGGGGAAUAUUGCACAAUGGGCGGAAGCCUGAUGCAGCAACGCCGCGUGCGGGAUGACGGCCUUCGGGUUGUAAACCGCUUUCGCCCGUGACGAAGCGUGAGUGACGGUAAUGGGUAAAGAAGCACCGGCUAACUACGUGCCAGCAGCCGCGGUGAUACGUAGGGUGCGAGCGUUGUCCGGAUUUAUUGGGCGUAAAGGGCUCGUAGGUGGUUGAUCGCGUCGGAAGUGUAAUCUUGGGGCUUAACCCUGAGCGUGCUUUCGAUACGGGUUGACUUGAGGAAGGUAGGGGAGAAUGGAAUUCCUGGUGGAGCGGUGGAAUGCGCAGAUAUCAGGAGGAACACCAGUGGCGAAGGCGGUUCUCUGGGCCUUUCCUGACGCUGAGGAGCGAAAGCGUGGGGAGCGAACAGGCUUAGAUACCCUGGUAGUCCACGCUGUAAACGGUGGGUACUAGGUGUGGGGUCCAUUCCACGGGUUCCGUGCCGUAGCUAACGCUUUAAGUACCCCGCCUGGGGAGUACGGCCGCAAGGCUAAAACUCAAAGGAAUUGACGGGGCCCCGCACAAGCGGCGGAGCAUGCGGAUUAAUUCGAUGCAACGCGUAGAACCUUACCUGGGUUUGACAUGGAUCGGGAGUGCUCAGAGAUGGGUGUGCCUCUUUUGGGGUCGGUUCACAGGUGGUGCAUGGCUGUCGUCAGCUCGUGUCGUGAGAUGUUGGGUUAAGUCCCGCAACGAGCGCAACCCUUGUUCACUGUUGCCAGCACGUUAUGGUGGGGACUCAGUGGAGACCGCCGGGGUCAACUCGGAGGAAGGUGGGGAUGACGUCAAGUCAUCAUGCCCCUUAUGUCCAGGGCUUCACGCAUGCUACAAUGGCUGGUACAGAGAGUGGCGAGCCUGUGAGGGUGAGCGAAUCUCGGAAAGCCGGUCUCAGUUCGGAUUGGGGUCUGCAACUCGACCUCAUGAAGUCGGAGUCGCUAGUAAUCGCAGAUCAGCAACGCUGCGGUGAAUACGUUCCCGGGGCU